RNAcentral lists this long non-coding RNA (714 nucleotides) under Vitis vinifera (wine grape). Its description in RNAcentral is "long non-coding RNA (VVIN_LNC005863)". Lineage: Eukaryota; Viridiplantae; Streptophyta; Magnoliopsida; Vitales; Vitaceae. The record is from RNAcentral.
AACUCCCAGAAUUGAGGUGUUUGUUGAUGAGGAGUAUGCAGAGUGAGUGAUAAUGACAUGAUUUUACCUUUUCCUACUAGAAAUGAUUUUCUGAGUUAUGCAGAGUGAGUGAUAAUGACAUGAUUUUACCUUUUCCUACUAGAAAUGAUUUUCUGAGUUAUAUUCUGCAUGCGACACUUCAUAUAUUUGGUUAAACACACUGAAAAAGAGAAGUCUGCUUCGCAAUCUGUCAAGGAAUGUGUACCUUUAUGUACUAUCUGAUUAUGUGCAUGUGUGUAAGUGUUUAUUUGUUUUAAUAUUAAUACAUGCUAUCUGAUUAUAAUUCUGCUGUUGAUAUUCUGUCUUUUGUUGUCACGUCUCUUACCAGAAUACUGUUCCAUUUGUUCACAUAUGAAUACCUGUAAGGAUGAUUUUCUAUUUGGAAAUGGUUUCUUUGGAGGAUACUAUCAAGCAAUGCAACUAAAAUUUGGUUUCAUUUAUCUGGUGUGAGUUAGUUUUUCUACUAUUCAAUCUUUGAAAUAUGAGUACUAACAAUGUUUCUCUGCUUCUGAAUGAUUUCAUUUAUAUCAAAUUAAGUUUUAAUUUUGACUGGUAGUUGUAGUAAUUCUUGUUAUUUAUGAAGUAUAAUAGACACCUGUUUCCCUUAAAAUCACACAUCAAAGUUGUUUAUAAUGUAAAAUUUCACCAACCAUAUUGCCCUAUACAAGUUCUUUU